Molecule: ribosomal RNA, 246 nt
Filed under: uncultured Lactobacillus sp.
Lineage: Bacteria; Bacillati; Bacillota; Bacilli; Lactobacillales; Lactobacillaceae
Description: partial 16S ribosomal RNA
Rfam family: Bacterial small subunit ribosomal RNA
Source: RNAcentral
CGUGGGUAACCUGCCCAAGAGAUCGGGAUAACACCUGGAAACAGAUGCUAAUACCGGAUAACAACAGAUGAUGCCUAUCAACUGUUUAAAAGAUGGUUCUGCUAUCACUCUUGGAUGGACCUGCGGUGUAUUAGCUAGUUGGUAGGGUAACGGCCUACCAAGGCGAUGAUGCAUAGCCGAGUUGAGAGACUGAUCGGCCACAUUGGGACUGAGACACGGCCCAAACUCCUACGGGAGGCAGCAGCA